Molecule: small nucleolar RNA, 92 nt
Organism: Corylus avellana
Lineage: Eukaryota; Viridiplantae; Streptophyta; Magnoliopsida; Fagales; Betulaceae
Product: small nucleolar RNA SNORD25
Source: RefSeq, a predicted model, not a curated record
UGCAACGGUGAUGAGCCUUUUUACAGACACAGACCUGUAAUGAUUUGCGGUAAUGAUCGCAAUUUUAAGAACAUCUAAGGGACUGAGUUUCA